AGACGCUGGCCGGCAGCCAACAGAGGACAGCUUUCCUAAGUUGGCUUCCUCCCUCCAACAUGUGGUAUCCAGGGAUCAAACUCAGGUUCUCAGAAGAAUACCUCCAUCUACAAAAUUGUUGGAUCUUCACUGCAGAAUUAUCUUUUGUUCAGAGACUCAUGUAAGCCAGGCUGGUCUCACAAUCCCAUAUAACUGAAGAUCACCUUAAACUUCCGAAC
This is a long non-coding RNA of Mastomys coucha (southern multimammate mouse), 218 nucleotides long. RefSeq lists it as uncharacterized. The transcript has 3 exons. NCBI's taxonomy places the organism in Eukaryota, Metazoa, Chordata, Mammalia, Rodentia, Muridae. The record is from RefSeq and is a predicted model, not a curated record.